AAAAUAUGAUGGGGUAGUGCAACAAUCCCUUGAGUCUUUCCCAAGUCUUAAACAAUGAUUCUCCUUUUGACUGUUUGAACUCUGUGAUUUGGUUUCUCAAUUU
Zingiber officinale is the source of this 103-nucleotide small nucleolar RNA. The record is from RefSeq and is a predicted model, not a curated record. Lineage: Eukaryota; Viridiplantae; Streptophyta; Magnoliopsida; Zingiberales; Zingiberaceae.